RNAcentral lists this ribosomal RNA (528 nucleotides) under uncultured bacterium. RNAcentral describes it as "bacterial SSU rRNA". It matches the Rfam family "Bacterial small subunit ribosomal RNA", at positions 312 to 832 of the family's 1533-position model. The record is from RNAcentral.
ACUGGGACUGAGACACGGCCCAGACUCCUACGGGAGGCAGCAGUGGGGAAUAUUGCGCAAUGGGGGAAACCCUGACGCAGCGACGCCGCGUGAGCGAUGAAGGCCUUAGGGUUGUAAAGCUCUGUUUUAGGGGACGAAUGUUACAGGGAGUAAUAUGUCCUGUAAAUGACGGUACCCUAAGAGGAAGCCCCGGCUAACUACGUGCCGGCAGCCGCGGUAAGACGUAGGGGGCGAGCGUUGUCCGGAAUUACUGGGCGUAAAGAGCACGUAGGCGGAGACUUAAGUCAGGUGUGAAAGACCGGGGCUCAACCCCGGGGUGGCACUUGAAACUGGGUCCCUUGAGGGCAGGAGAGGGCAGUAGAAUUCCUGGUGUAGCGGUGAAAUGCGUAGAAAUCAGGAGGAAUACCAGUGGCGAAGGCGACUGCCUGGACUGACCCUGACGCUGAGGUGCGAAGGCGUGGGUAGCAAACAGGAUUAGAUACCCUGGUAGUCCACGCCGUAACGAUGGAUACUAGGUGUGGGAGGUAU